Molecule: ribosomal RNA, 274 nt
Filed under: uncultured bacterium
Lineage: Bacteria
Description: partial 16S ribosomal RNA
Rfam family: Bacterial small subunit ribosomal RNA
Source: RNAcentral
AUACAGAGGGUGCAAGCGUUAAUCGGAUUUACUGGGCGUAAAGCGCGCGUAGGCGGCUAAUUAAGUCAAAUGUGAAAUCCCCGAGCUUAACUUGGGAAUUGCAUUCGAUACUGGUUAGCUAGAGUGUGGGAGAGGAUGGUAGAAUUCCAGGUGUAGCGGUGAAAUGCGUAGAGAUCUGGAGGAAUACCGAUGGCGAAGGCAGCAAUCUGGCCUAACACUGACGCUGAGGUGCGAAAGCAUGGGGAGCAAACAGGAUUAGAAACCCCGGUAGUCC